RNAcentral lists this non-coding RNA (173 nucleotides) under uncultured Ralstonia sp. Lineage: Bacteria; Pseudomonadati; Pseudomonadota; Betaproteobacteria; Burkholderiales; Burkholderiaceae. The record is from RNAcentral.
GUCGGCGUGGUGACCGUGCAGCCGCACGCCGUCGGCCUGACCAGCGAACUGCCCGGCCGCCUGGAAGCCACCCGCGUGGCCCAGGUGCGCGCGCGCGUUGCAGGCAUUGUGCUCAAGCGCAGCUACGAGGAAGGCCAUGAUGUGAAGGCCGGCCAGCCGCUGUUCCAGAUCGA